AUGGUGAAGUUAAUAGUUGGUGUCAAAACUUAUUAAGUUGGUGACAGCCAAUGGUAAGAAAAUAAAUAAUAAAAAUGAUAAUAUUCCAUGUGUACGUGUGUGUGGUUAUAUGUGUGAUACUAGAGAAUGGGUGUCUACUAAGGUCAUUGGUGCUGAAGGUAAUAAAUGGUGGAAGUGGUGUGAUGGUUCUAAUAUAUAUUGAUAUACUUAUGUUUUAUUUUAAAGUUUGACCAAGUAGUUAUUUAUAUAUAUGGGUAAGUUAUUGACCAGGUCAAGUACAUAUUCCACCCACCCAUGUAUAUAGAUAUCUAGUAAUACACUUUAUUCUAAAAGCUUCCAAAGGAGGCUGUUACUAAUUGACACACACACGCAUGAGUCAUGAAGAGGGGAAAAUCACAUUUAUAUCUAAGUGACACGUUGUCUAGAGAUUUGCAUGGACAAGAAAAAGAAAAAAAAUAAUAAAAAUACAAAUAGAAACAAAGGAGGGAUUUUUCAGCCGUAGAAGAAGAAAAUAUUAUUAAACUUUGGGUAACACAUGUCACAUAAGCUAUGUGACAAUUUACAUUUCCUGGAGACUAGAUUUACACCAUCCAUGUGACUAUAUACUUUUCAAGACUAAAGUUAUUAUGCUUUAAAGUGGUGGCUGGUGGCUGCAAUAUAUAGUUGUAUAUAUAUAUAGGUUUCAAUUAUCAUUUAUAUGGAUAGAGAUGAGUAAAGUCAGGUUGCUGGCUGCACAAGGCUGGACCGAACACACAGGACACGCAAUUAUGUAGAUAUACUCUAUAUAUAGAUAAGGUUAAUUCUAUCUUUUUAAACCUGUUUGGACCGCCUUUGAGAAAGCCAUUGUUUUGGUUGAGACACACAAAAUAUAUCAAAACAGUGAGCUAUUUAGUGAUAGUUCAAAGAGAGAAGAAAAAUACGGAGGAGGAGGAUAGAAAAGGAAAAAGGGGGUUUUCUCUCUAAAUUGUUGUUGAAUUCAAGCAAAGGCAAGGAGAAUGAACUGAUCACUUCAGCAAUAUCAAAGGAUAAGUAGACAAUUUGAAAAGUAGCCAAGGUACAAGGUUGGGUCGCUACUGCCAGGUCUAGAAUUUUUGAGUGGGAAUGGGAAAAAGAACAAUGGAACGUCUUUUGUUUAAUAUGUAAAUAUUGUAAUAGAAUUUAAUAGUAUAAGUUGCCGUUAAUGUUUUUUUUUGUUUGUCAGAAUUUGCAUAACAGGCCUAUAGGUAGUUUUUGAAUUGUAAACUGUUAAACAGGUGCUCUGAUGUAGGAUGACGUUAUAUUUGAAGGAGGUUAAUGCAGAUGGUUAGAUGCAUUCCAAUUUA
Molecule: long non-coding RNA, 1322 nt
Organism: Cornus florida
Lineage: Eukaryota; Viridiplantae; Streptophyta; Magnoliopsida; Cornales; Cornaceae
Exons: 3
Source: RefSeq, a predicted model, not a curated record